Molecule: ribosomal RNA, 410 nt
Filed under: uncultured microorganism
Description: bacterial SSU rRNA
Rfam family: Archaeal small subunit ribosomal RNA
Source: RNAcentral
GCGCAGCAGGCGCGAAACCUCCGCAAUACACGAAAGUGUGACGGGCCAUCCCGAGUGCCGUCCGCUGAGGACGGCUUUCCCCAGUGUACAUAGCUGGGGAAUAAGGAGAGGGCAAGCCUGGUGUCAGCCGCCGCGGUAAUACCAGCUCUCCGAGUGGUGGGGACGCUUAUUGGGCCUAAAGCAUCCGUAGCCGGCUGGGCAAGUCCUCCGUUAAAUCCAACGAUUCAAUCGUUGGGCUGCGGGGGAUACUGUCCAGCUUGGGGGCGGGAGAGGCCGACGGUAUUCCCGGGGUAGGGGUGAAAUCCUAUAAUCCCGGGAGGACCACCAGUGGCGAAGGCUGUCGGCUAGAACGCGCCCGACGGUGAGGGACGAAAGCUGGGGGAGCGAACCGGAUUAGAUACCCGUGUAGU